Molecule: ribosomal RNA, 203 nt
Filed under: uncultured Actinomycetales bacterium
Lineage: Bacteria; Bacillati; Actinomycetota; Actinomycetes; Actinomycetales
Description: partial 16S ribosomal RNA
Rfam family: Bacterial small subunit ribosomal RNA
Source: RNAcentral
CGCCUGCACUUCGGGAUAAGCUUGGGAAACUGGGUCUAAUACCGGAUAGGAGCCAUCUUUAGUGUGGUGGUUGGAAAGUUUUUUCGGUGUAGGAUGAGCUCGCGGCCUAUCAGCUUGUUGGUGGGGUAAUGGCCUACCAAGGCGGCGACGGGUAGCCGGCCUGAGAGGGUGUACGGCCACAUUGGGACUGAGGUACGGCCCAG